This 733-nucleotide long non-coding RNA is filed under the name Heterocephalus glaber (naked mole-rat). Its description in RNAcentral is "lncRNA (ENSHGLG00000044846.1)". Lineage: Eukaryota; Metazoa; Chordata; Mammalia; Rodentia; Bathyergidae. The record is from RNAcentral.
AGACAGUCAACAGCAAACAUGCUGAGCUGCUUCUCCACUUCGAGAGGUAUCGGCCUCAGGACCCCAGGUAGAGAAAGUAUCUGUAAAAGAUUGAGAAGAUGACUGACUCCAUCCAGAUGCCUCGUGACUGUCACAGACACCCCAGAGAUGGUCUCCCUGGGAGUGAUCACCAGUGACCUACCAAAAUCAAGCAAUCAAGAUCAUGUCUCCAUGACCAACGCAGACACACCCAGAAUUGUGCUCCAACAAUGCCCUGGCCUACUCCCGAGAAAAUCACACUGACACAACGAAACUUAACCAUCAUUUUCCAUUACUUGCCAACUUGACACUCAAACACAGUCCUUAAACCAUGCUUAAUCCUUUAAAAAACACAAAGUCAUUAUUCUGCCUAAUACAACUAUCUUACAUACAAUGAAAAAUGCAAUAAUUCCUUCCUUCAAACCUCAACAGUUUUAACAUUCUUCAAAAGUCCAAGUCCAAGUCUCAUCUGAGAUUCCAUGGAAACACUUAGCUGUUAGCUUCUGAAAAAAAAAAUCUAAACCAUGUUAUAUAUUCCAAAGUACAAUGGCACAGGGUAAACAUUCCCAUUGCAAAAGGGAGAAAUAGGAGGAUAGAAAAGAAUUGUACCAAACCAAGACUGAAACCCAGCAGGGAAAAUAUUGAGUUCUAUUGUUCCAUAUUCAGUAUCCAGGGGCAAUGAUAGAGGGAUGUGAUUUCCAAAGGCCUUGGGCAG